This 399-nucleotide ribosomal RNA is filed under the name uncultured bacterium. RNAcentral describes it as "partial 16S ribosomal RNA". It matches the Rfam family "Bacterial small subunit ribosomal RNA", at positions 338 to 754 of the family's 1533-position model. The record is from RNAcentral.
CCUACGGGUGGCAGCAGUGGGGAAUAGUGCACAAUGGGGGAAACCCUGAUGCAGCGACGCCGCGUGAGUGAAGAAGUAUUUCGGGAUGGAAAGCUCUAUCAGCAGGGAAGAGAAUGACGGUACCUGACGAAGAAGCCCCGGCUAACUACGUGCCAGCAGCCGCGGUAAGACGUAGGGGGCAAGCGUUAUCCGGAUUUACUGGGUGGAAAGGGGGCGUAGGUGGCAGGGCAAGUCAGAUGGGAAAGCCCGGGGCUCACCCCCGGUACUGCAUUUGAAACUGUCCAGCUGGAGUGCAGGAGAGGUAAGCGCCAUUCCUAGUGUCGCGGUGAACUGCGUAGAUAUUAGGAGGAACCCCAGUGGCGCAGGCGGCUUACUGGACUGUACCUGACACUGAGGCAC